This 460-nucleotide ribosomal RNA is filed under the name uncultured bacterium. RNAcentral's name for it is "partial 16S ribosomal RNA". It matches the Rfam family "Bacterial small subunit ribosomal RNA", at positions 338 to 795 of the family's 1533-position model. The record is from RNAcentral.
CCUACGGGAGGCAGCAGUGAGGAAUAUUGGUCAAUGGACGAGAGUCUGAACCAGCCAAGUAGCGUGAAGGAUGACUGCCCUACGGGUUGUAAACUUCUUUUAUAUGGGAAUAAAAUGUUCCACGUGUGGGAUUUUGUAUGUACCCGAUGAAUAAGGAUCGGCUAACUCCGUGCCAGCAGCCGCGGUAAUACGGAGGAUCCGAGCGUUAUCCGGAUUUAUUGGGUUUAAAGGGGGCGUAGGGGGAAGGUUAAGUCAGGUGUGAAAGUUUGCGGCUCAACCGUAAAAGUGCAGUUGAAACUGGCAGUCUUGAGUACAGUAGAGGUGGGCGGAAUGCGUGGUGUAGCGGUGAAAGGCUUAGAUAUCACGAAGAACUCCGAUUGCGAAGGCAGUUCACUGGACUGCAACUGACACUGAUGCUCGAAAGUGUGGGUAUCAAACAGGAUUAGAUACCCGAGUAGUC